Potamilus streckersoni is the source of this 70-nucleotide non-coding RNA. The record is from the annotation of a GenBank genome assembly. Lineage: Eukaryota; Metazoa; Mollusca; Bivalvia; Unionida; Unionidae.
UGUUGGCCUAGUGGUUAGAUCGUCCGCCUCGAAUGCGGGAGGUCGUGGGUUUGAUCCUCGGCCGACUCAU